UGAGGAAUAUUGGUCAAUGGGCGAGAGCCUGAACCAGCCAAGUAGCGUGCAGGAUGACGGCCCUAUGGGUUGUAAACUGCUUUUAUAUGGGAAUAAAGUGAGGGACGUGUCCCUUAUUGCAUGUACCAUACGAAUAAGGACCGGCUAAUUCCGUGCCAGCAGCCGCGGUAAUACGGAAGGUCCAGGCGUUAUCCGGAUUUAUUGGGUUUAAAGGGAGCGUAGGCUGUUUGUUAAGCGUGUUGUGAAAUGUAAGAGCUCAACUUUUAGAUUGCAGCGCGAACUGGCCGACUUGAGUGCGCACAACGUAGGCGGAAUUCAUGGUGUAGCGGUGAAAUGCUUAGAUAUCAUGACGAACUCCGAUUGCGAAGGCAGCUUACGGGAGCGCAACUGACGCUAAAGCUCGAAGGUGCGGGUAUCGAACAGG
This 424-nucleotide ribosomal RNA is filed under the name Verrucomicrobiota bacterium. Its description in RNAcentral is "Verrucomicrobia bacterium partial 16S ribosomal RNA". It matches the Rfam family "Bacterial small subunit ribosomal RNA", at positions 355 to 776 of the family's 1533-position model. The record is from RNAcentral. Lineage: Bacteria; Pseudomonadati; Verrucomicrobiota.